Molecule: ribosomal RNA, 466 nt
Filed under: Vreelandella stevensii
Lineage: Bacteria; Pseudomonadati; Pseudomonadota; Gammaproteobacteria; Oceanospirillales; Halomonadaceae
Description: partial 16S ribosomal RNA
Rfam family: Bacterial small subunit ribosomal RNA
Source: RNAcentral
CCUACGGGCGUGCUGCAGUGGGGAAUAUUGGACAAUGGGCGAAAGCCUGAUCCAGCCAUGCCGCGUGUGUGAAGAAGGCCUUCGGGUUGUAAAGCACUUUCAGUGGGGAAGAAAGCCUUGGGGCUAAUACCCUCGAGGAAGGACAUCACCCACAGAAGAAGCACCGGCUAACUCCGUGCCAGCAGCCGCGGUAAUACGGAGGGUGCGAGCGUUAAUCGGAAUUACUGGGCGUAAAGCGCGCGUAGGCGGUCUGAUAAGCCGGUUGUGAAAGCCCCGGGCUCAACCUGGGAACGGCAUCCGGAACUGUCAGGCUAGAGUGCAGGAGAGGAAGGUAGAAUUCCCGGUGUAGCGGUGAAAUGCGUAGAGAUCGGGAGGAAUACCAGUGGCGAAGGCGGCCUUCUGGACUGACACUGACGCUGAGGUGCGAAAGCGUGGGUAGCAAACAGGAUUAGAUACCCUGGUAGUC